This 497-nucleotide ribosomal RNA is filed under the name uncultured bacterium. Its description in RNAcentral is "partial 16S ribosomal RNA". It matches the Rfam family "Bacterial small subunit ribosomal RNA", at positions 28 to 507 of the family's 1533-position model. The record is from RNAcentral.
GAUGAACGCUGGCGGCGUGCCUAACACAUGCAAGUCGAGCGAACAGACGAUGAGCUUGUUCCUUCGACGUUAGCGGCGGACGGGUGUGUCACACGUAGAUCACCUACUUAUAUUUCUGGGAUAAUUACGGAACAGCGGAGAUAAUACCAGAGAAUAUCUCGCACCGCGUUGUUCGAUGGAGAAUGUUGGCUUUGCUGUCUGUUCUAGCUGGUCCUGGGCGGGAUUAGCUGGUUGGUAAGGUCCCGGCCUACCAAGGCGACGAUUCGUAUACGAACUGAGAGGGUGAUCGGCGACACUGGAACUGAGACACGGUCCAUACUCCUACGGGAGGCAGCAGUAGGGAAUGUUCGGCAAUGGGCGAAAGCCUGACGCAGCAACGCCGCGUGAGUGACGAAGGCCUUCGGAGCGUAAAGCCCUGUUAUUGGGGAAGAACAGCUGUGGAAGGAAACGAGGCCGGCGUGACGGUACCUAAUCAAAAAGCACCGGCUAACUACGUG